AGAGUUUGAUCAUGGCUCAGAUUGAACGCUGGCGGCAUGCCUUACACAUGCAAGUCGAACGGCAGCACGGGAGCAAUCCUGGUGGCGAGUGGCGAACGGGUGAGUAAUACAUCGGAACGUGCCCAGUUGUGGGGGAUAGCCCGGCGAAAGCCGGAUUAAUACCGCAUACGACCCUGAGGGUGAAAGCGGGGGACCUGCAAGGGCCUCGCGCAGUUGGAGCGGCCGAUGUCAGAUUAGCUAGUUGGUGGGGUAAAGGCCUACCAAGGCGACGAUCUGUAGCUGGUCUGAGAGGACGACCAGCCACACUGGGACUGAGACACGGCCCAGACUCCUACGGGAGGCAGCAGUGGGGAAUUUUGGACAAUGGGCGCAAGCCUGAUCCAGCCAUGCCGCGUGCGGGAAGAAGGCCUUCGGGUUGUAAACCGCUUUUGUCAGGGAAGAAACGCGCCGAGUUAAUACCUUGGUGUAAUGACGGUACCUGAAGAAUAAGCACCGGCUAACUACGUGCCAGCAGCCGCGGUAAUACGUAGGGUGCGAGCGUUAAUCGGAAUUACUGGGCGUAAAGCGUGCGCAGGCGGCCAUGCAAGACAGAUGUGAAAUCCCCGGGCUCAACCUGGGAACUGCAUUUGUGACUGCAUGGCUGGAGUGCGGCAGAGGGGGAUGGAAUUCCGCGUGUAGCAGUGAAAUGCGUAGAUAUGCGGAGGAACACCGAUGGCGAAGGC
This 722-nucleotide ribosomal RNA is filed under the name uncultured bacterium. Its description in RNAcentral is "bacterial SSU rRNA". It matches the Rfam family "Bacterial small subunit ribosomal RNA", at positions 8 to 722 of the family's 1533-position model. The record is from RNAcentral.